GGGGGGGGGGGGGGGGGGGCGGAGGGGGGGGGGGUGGGGGGGGGGCGGGGGGGGGGCGUGCGCGGACGGGGGGCGGGGGGCGGGGGGGUGGGGAAUAGCUCGGGAUCUACGUUUUCGUGGGGGAUAACUUGGGGAAGCUGACGCUACUACCGCAUACGCCCUACGGGUGACAGCAGAGGAUCUGCGGCCCUUGCGCGAUUGAAUUCGCCGAUGUCGGAUUAGCUAGUUGGCGGGGUAAAGGCCCACCAAGGCGACGAUCCGUAGCUGGUCUGAGAGGAUGAUCAGCCACACUGGAACUGAGACACGGUCCAGACUCCUACGGGAGGCAGCAGUGGGGAAUAUUGGACAAUGGGCGCAAGCCUGAUCCAGCCAUACCGCGUGGGUGAAGAAGGCCUUCGGGUUGUAAAGCCCUUUUGUUGGGAAAGAAAAGCAGCAGGUUAAUACCCCGCUGUUCUGACGGUACCCAAAGAAUAAGCACCGGCUAACUUCGUG
This 492-nucleotide ribosomal RNA is filed under the name uncultured bacterium. RNAcentral describes it as "partial 16S ribosomal RNA". It matches the Rfam family "Bacterial small subunit ribosomal RNA", at positions 38 to 507 of the family's 1533-position model. The record is from RNAcentral.